RNAcentral lists this ribosomal RNA (216 nucleotides) under Glomeromycotina sp. RNAcentral describes it as "partial small subunit ribosomal RNA". The stretch from base 40 to 216 matches the Rfam family "Eukaryotic small subunit ribosomal RNA", at positions 686 to 864 of the family's 1831-position model. Lineage: Eukaryota; Fungi; Glomeromycota. The record is from RNAcentral.
GGGUCAGUGGGUUGGUCGUGCCACCGGUACGUACUGGUCUCACUGAUUCCUCCUUCCUGAAGAACCGUAAUGCCAUUGAUUUGGUGUUGCGGGGAAACAGGACUGUUACUUUGAAAAAAUUAGAGUGUUUAAAGCAAGCUAACGCUUGAAUACAUUAGCAUGGAAUAAUGAAAUAGGACGAUCGAUCCUAUUUUGUUGGUUUCUAGGAUUGACGUA